CUCCCAUCCCCUUAGCUUUUCUGUAAUUUGAUGUUUCUACUUCCCCAUUCAGAUGUGGGGCCCAGUUCCUCCUCCCCUGACUCUGGGCUGGCCAGGAUGACUCGCUUGUAACCAACGGAAUACGGUGGAAGGGACACUGCCCGAGUCAGGCCAGGCCGGAGGCUAUGCAGAUCCGCCUGGCUCUCAUGGGACACCAGCUCUCUGGACACUCUAUCCCGGGAACCCCCCUCUCCAGAUGCUGCCGCCGUGCCGUGGGAAGCCCGAGCCGUGUGAGAGGCCACGUGGAGGUUCUGGUGACAGGCACAGCGGAGCCGGCCCGCUGAGUCCCUCAGCCCAGGACCCGACAUACAGCUGAGUCACCAGUGACCACGGGGCCAUCUGAGUCCACAGCAAGAGGCACAGGAGGAUCUUUGGAGUUUGGGGAAGGACAUUGGCAUUUUGCCCGAGAACACCUGCACAGGAUGCAUUCCCAGGCCCACACUCAGAGAAAACUGUGGGUGCCUUCCUAGCCUUGAGGCAGCUCACCCCAAAGGCCGUCUGAGAAGGAUGUUAGCCCACUGGCCCCCUUUCUGCGUGUUUAAGGAGAGUCAGCUGGGGCCUGCGUUUCUCCCGGCUGGCUGAGUGCUGUGAGUCGGUGCACCCUUACUGAACGCGCUGUGUCCUGACCACCCGCCUGGCUGCCCCAAUGGCCUCAGAGGUCAUGCAGGUGCCGAGGGUAGGGCACGCAGGGCGAGCUCUUGUGCAACCGGGUGCAAAGCCAUGGGUAGGAUGGAGAAAGGACGCUGGCAGUGUGCGCGGAGCAAAGGGGAUCAGAUGAUCUGACAGGGAAACCCGUUUAUGCAGGAAAUUCUCUCACCAAGCACUGAGGACAGAAACUCAAGGAGCCUCCUUCAUGCUAAUAUGCAGGCUUUGUGGAUUUCAGAAAUAAUUUAUGCUACAUUAUCUCGGCCACGGAUUCUAGAAAACAACUGAUGACAUUAGAAAAGUGGAAGCCUGUCUAAUGUGAUGAGGUGUUAAUGCAAAGACCGAAACCUUUCAUUCCAAGUUAAAAGCACAGAAGUGUGCCCUCAUUCGCCCAUAGUCCGAGGCAGGGAGCAGUCCUUUUCUUUGAGCGUGUGCCCUCUCGUAGGUGUUUCACUUCUCUUUGUCGCAUAACCACGUCCAAAAGUCACCUGUGAGAUUUCACGCGUCUGUGUAUUCAAAGGGCAGCGAGAAGGCGGAGGCAUCUCUGAAACGACCUGAGCACAGGAAACUUUUCUGCAUCUUGAGAUUCAUCGCUUAAAUAUUUCAGCUGCCUGGUCCACAUUUACUCGGAAGGCAAUGUGGGGGGACCCGCUUUUAUCAAAUCUUCCCCAAGCAUUCCAAGUAUUUUCCACAGGAACCGUCUUCCACUCAUGUCUCUCUGGCUGAGAGUAUGUUUCGUUGAAUCACACACUGACGGUCACAGACACGCACGAAGAGGAUUGGGAACUGACACUCGCUGCUUUGGGAGGCGCGUGUGGGUGGGUCAGCCCCUUUCAUGGAGGGAGGGCAGCGUCCUCCGAACCUUCCAGUCAGAACAGCCGCCGACUGAGUUUCCCAGCAACUCCUCCCUCCUGCCCUUCCAGGAGAAGAAUGGAGAUGCCCAACCAUAGAAAAUCCAAAUCCGUUUCCCCGUCUGCAAGAGGUGGCUGAGGACACGGUGCUCACCUCUCAGGAUUGUCCUGAUCACGAGGCAGCCGACACAUAUCAAGUCUCCAGGGUCCAGCCCGGCACACCACAGAACGUGCUCCUUAUAAGCUAGCGGGGGUCACAGUCAAACGCAUACUCUGAAACUAAAUACCUGCCUUCCAGAUUUUCCAAUUGCUCAGUUUGUUCCACUGAACUUUCUCCUUGCGUGCACUUGUGUGUGCAUGUGUGUGUGCACACUUGGCUGUCCACUGCACCUCCCAUCUCUCUACAUGCCCUCGAAUUGCAGUCAUGGGUCUUGCUACACACACAGACUGCAGGAUAAGCUAAGCAGAAAUCCCAAACCAGCAGCCCUGAGGACAAGUCUGGCCCACAGAUGUGUUCUGUUUGCUCAGAUGGUAUUACGUUUCCUUCUUUUUUUAAUUUAGUCGACAAUAUUUAGAAUUUAGGAAAAUUUACAUUUAAAAAAAAAUCUAGAUUUCCAACUUCAGUUGAAAAAUUGGAAGAUCUGGCAUACUUUCACCAAUGGCAAUGGUCAACUGGAGCUGAGUGGCAGCUUCCCCUCUUAGAUGGAGCACGCAAUCUCCAAUUUGCCCCAGUCCCCACUACUCCCUCUUGUAACACACCGGCUCCACUUGAAUCGUGUACCUGCCUGGUUUCCAGCUUUUUCUAGGUUUGAGCCACUUUGCUUUCCAUAAAGACGGCUUCCCAGCAGCUCUCACAAAGCCCAGAGGCCAAACUUAUCACUUGGGACCCCUCGAUUGAAAAAUACCACCAGAGUUGGUAGCUCACCACGUCCCCAAGCCACACCUGACAGCUUUCCCCCAAAACCAUUCAGCAGUUAUCAGUUUGGGCAAAAAUUGUUCUUAUUAUCAAGCCGAAUAGGAGGAUUCAAGGAGAGUGCUGAUAAAUCCAUCAGCAAGCACUCUGCCUGGAGAAGAGGUGGCCCCGGAGGGGAAGGUUGCCUCUGUCCUGUCCUUUCAGCCCCGAAGCCGGUGAGCUGGGGAGCCCUGCCAGUGGUCUGGUUGCCAUUGUAGCCUACCCGCGGCUCUCCAGCCCUCUUCUGUGGCAGUAGAGAAAGCAGCAGGCCCAGGAAACACUUUUCUGUCUCCUAAUGCAGACCCAGGCUGGCCCAGGACGAGCUUUCCUCGGAAUCAGAGGCCAGUGUCCCCGCAGACCUCGGGAGGCCAGGGCUUGGGAGGUGCUGUGCUCCUCGAUUCCAUCACCUGCUUCUGUGCAGCCCCCCGAUCAGGCUCCAACUCUCAUCCGCAGCCGAGGAGGGACGCAUCCGCGGCCGGCGGUAACGAGGGAGGGAUGCAGAGGAAGCAGGGUGCCCACACUCAGCAGGGUGCCGUCAAGUGGCCUCUGGGCUGGGGCCUCUCCGCGUGGUCCCCCUUCUUCCCGAGCAUCUCUCAGGUCCUGGAACACAGUCCCGCAGCCCCCUCGCUGGCGGUCUGUGUCUUUCCUCUGCCGGCGUUCCUGGUGGUACAGCGUCCGGGCCCUCAAGAGCGAGGUUAAAGAACAAGUAACACAUCUUGGAGCCCAAGGGCAGGUACUCGGGAAACCACUUGGGCAAGAUGGCCUCAAAGGGGAGGUGGCCAGGAGGCCCCACGUCACAGAGUCCUCGCGUGGGAUCAGUGAAACCCCACGUUUAAAGAUGUUGGCAGAGUCCCGCCCAUGCGAUGUGCUCAGCCAUCACCAUCGCCAGGUGCCUCUGUGCAGUGCACAACCUGCUCAAGGGGAUGGAGCUGGAGACCCACCAGGAGGUUCGGCGUUGGUCUGUGGUCAGCGGGGAUUUGGACUGAGUCAAGGAGCCCCGCAAAGGUCCCUGAAGCUGACCAGCGCCCGGCGGAGCAGCAGCGCCAGGGGAGCCAAACCGCUGACCCGGGCUUUUCCCUUUCCACCCAAAUCUUGCUCCCCUGCGCCCUCUGCAGGCCGACGGGGAAGCCACACGUUGAGGUCGAUUUAGACGCGUUUCUGGGUCGAGGAUCCCACUGGUUCUCAACCGUCUGGGCGGAACGGCAGCAUCUCCUGGGGAGUGAGUCCUGAA
This 3718-nucleotide long non-coding RNA is filed under the name Equus caballus (horse). Its description in RNAcentral is "lncRNA (ENSECAG00000034327.3)". Lineage: Eukaryota; Metazoa; Chordata; Mammalia; Perissodactyla; Equidae. The record is from RNAcentral.